This 18-nucleotide non-coding RNA is filed under the name Chlamydomonas reinhardtii. Lineage: Eukaryota; Viridiplantae; Chlorophyta; Chlorophyceae; Chlamydomonadales; Chlamydomonadaceae. RNAcentral also lists the same sequence under 3 other names. The record is from RNAcentral.
GGGGAAUCCGACUGUUUA